UUCGCAAUCAGCUCGACUCCGGGAAAACACGUCCUUUUAUAAACAACAAUUUUAUUAUAUUCUGAAGUUGUAUUACGAUCUAUCAGUGCUUUAGUGUUUUUUCUUUUGUGUUGCCACUCGCGAAUGAAGACGUCAUGAAGCCCAAAACAACUAUUGGUCACUGUACAGGACUAGUAAUCUUUUUAUACUCUUGUGCGUGUUCCAAUAGUUAUUGUGGGUGCUUCAAAUUCUACGAUGAAGACAGAAGAAUUCGUCGGAAAUAUUAAACCUUAGUUAAAUAUAUAGCCAUUGGUCGGGGAGAGGCGUGUCACAACCUGAAGCCACUAGGCCAGCAUUGCUCUAGUAGAAAAAUCAAAAUGAUUUUCUUUGUUUACCUUUACUAUUCUUAGCAAGGGAAUGUUUAGUUUAAUUUAUUUCCAUAGCUUAUCAUUUAAAAAAAUCAAAUACACCACUACUCGCAAUACUCGUCGAGCGAGUUAUCUUCCCGAAGCCGCGCA
Pieris napi is the source of this 497-nucleotide long non-coding RNA. RefSeq lists it as uncharacterized. The transcript has 3 exons. The record is from RefSeq and is a predicted model, not a curated record. NCBI's taxonomy places the organism in Eukaryota, Metazoa, Arthropoda, Insecta, Lepidoptera, Pieridae.